RNAcentral lists this ribosomal RNA (521 nucleotides) under uncultured bacterium. Its description in RNAcentral is "bacterial SSU rRNA". It matches the Rfam family "Bacterial small subunit ribosomal RNA", at positions 8 to 518 of the family's 1533-position model. The record is from RNAcentral.
AGAGUUGAUUCUGGCUCAGAACGAACGCUGGCGGCGCGUUCUAAGCAUGCAAGUCGAGCGGCAGGGGGGCUCGGUCCCCCGAGAGCGGCGGACGGGUGAGUAACACGUGGACAACCUGCCCCCCGGUUCGGGAUAGCCCAGGGAAACCUGGAUCAAUACCGGAUGCGAGGGCGGCCGCACAAGCGGCCGUCGGGAAAGGCGCUUCGGCGCCGCCGGGGAUGGGUCCGCGUCCCAUUAGCUAGACGGUGGGGUAACGGCCCACCGUGGCGAUGAUGGGUAGCCGGCCUGAGAGGGUGGACGGCCACAUUGGAACUGAGACACGGUCCAGACUCCUACGGGAGGCAGCAGCUAAGAAUCUUCCGCAAUGGGCGAAAGCCUGACGGAAGCGACGCCGCGUGAACGAAGAAGGCCGUGAGGUUGUAAGUUCUUUCGGGAGGGGAACAACCGUGGCGAGGGAAUGGCCGGCGGGAUGACGUGAACUCCCGGAAUAACGCCCCGGCUAACUACGUGCCAGCCGCCGC